RNAcentral lists this ribosomal RNA (1243 nucleotides) under Salmonella enterica subsp. enterica serovar Kentucky. RNAcentral describes it as "partial 23S ribosomal RNA". It matches the Rfam family "Bacterial large subunit ribosomal RNA", at positions 566 to 1773 of the family's 2925-position model. The record is from RNAcentral. Lineage: Bacteria; Pseudomonadati; Pseudomonadota; Gammaproteobacteria; Enterobacterales; Enterobacteriaceae.
GGCGGAGCGUCGUUUGCGACGCCCAACACACAAAACAAGCGGUGAGUGCUUUGGGGUGGGGUGACUGCGUACCUUUUGUAUAAUGGGUCAGCGACUUAUAUUCUGUAGCAAGGUUAACCGUAUAGGGGAGCCGAAGGGAAACCGAGUCUUAACUGGGCGUUAAGUUGCAGGGUAUAGACCCGAAACCCGGUGAUCUAGCCAUGGGCAGGUUGAAGGUUGGGUAACACUAACUGGAGGACCGAACCGACUAAUGUUGAAAAAUUAGCGGAUGACUUGUGGCUGGGGGUGAAAGGCCAAUCAAACCGGGAGAUAGCUGGUUCUCCCCGAAAGCUAUUUAGGUAGCGCCUCGUGAACUCAUCUUCGGGGGUAGAGCACUGUUUCGGCUAGGGGGUCAUCCCGACUUACCAACCCGAUGCAAACUGCGAAUACCGAAGAAUGUUAUCACGGGAGACACACGGCGGGUGCUAACGUCCGUCGUGAAGAGGGAAACAACCCAGACCGCCAGCUAAGGUCCCAAAGUCACAGUUAAGUGGGAAACGAUGUGGGAAGGCUCAGACAGCCAGGAUGUUGGCUUAGAAGCAGCCAUCAUUUAAAGAAAGCGUAAUAGCUCACUGGUCGAGUCGGCCUGCGCGGAAGAUGUAACGGGGCUAAACUGUGCACCGAAGCUGCGGCAGCGACGCUUAUGCGUUGUUGGGUAGGGGAGCGUUCUGUAAGCCUGCGAAGGUGUCCUGUGAGGGAUGCUGGAGGUAUCAGAAGUGCGAAUGCUGACAUAAGUAACGAUAAUGCGGGUGAAAAGCCCGCUCGCCGGAAGACCAAGGGUUCCUGUCCAACGUUAAUCGGGGCAGGGUGAGUCGACCCCUAAGGCGAGGCCGAAAGGCGUAGUCGAUGGGAAACGGGUUAAUAUUCCCGUACUUGGUGUUACUGCGAAGGGGGGACGGAGAAGGCUAUGUUGGCCGGGCGACGGUUGUCCCGGUUUAAGCGUGUAGGCUGGUUUUCCAGGCAAAUCCGGAAAAUCAAGGCUGAGGCGUGAUGACGAGGCACUACGGUGCUGAAGCAACAAAUGCCCUGCUUCCAGGAAAAGCCUCUAAGCAUCAGGUAACAUCAAAUCGUACCCCAAACCGACACAGGUGGUCAGGUAGAGAAUACCAAGGCGCUUGAGAGAACUCGGGUGAAGGAACUAGGCAAAAUGGUGCCGUAACUUCGGGAGAAGGCACGCUGACACGUAGGUGAAGUGAUUUACUCA